RNAcentral lists this unclassified non-coding RNA (170 nucleotides) under uncultured fungus. Its description in RNAcentral is "sequence contains ITS1". Lineage: Eukaryota; Fungi. The record is from RNAcentral.
AACUAUCGAAAGCACGCCGAUCGCGACGAUUCCCCAUCCGGAAACAGCGGUAAAUGAACCCGCGGCCUCCAUCGUGUCGCGAAUGAAUGCGAGGUUGUCCAUCGCUCGCACGUGAAGCGCAGGAGUGUCCUUCGACGGCGUCGGUCUCAGCGGACGAACUGAUGUCAUAC